RNAcentral lists this ribosomal RNA (292 nucleotides) under uncultured bacterium. RNAcentral's name for it is "partial 16S ribosomal RNA". The record is from RNAcentral.
GGACUACUCGGGUAUCUAAUCCUGUUCGCUCCCCACGCUUUCGCUCCUCAGCGUCAGUUUUGGCCCAGAGACCCGCCUUCGCCACCGGUGUUCCUCCUGAUAUCUGCGCAUUUCACCGCUACACCAGGAAUUCCAGUCUCCCCUGCCAUACUCUAGUUUGCCCGUAUCGAAUGCAGGCCCAGGGUUGAGCCCUGGGUUUUCACAUCCGACGCGACAAACCGCCUACGAGCUCUUUACGCCCAAUAAAUCCGGACAACGCUUGCACCCUACGUAUUACCGCGGCUGCUGGCAC